RNAcentral lists this ribosomal RNA (647 nucleotides) under uncultured archaeon. RNAcentral describes it as "bacterial SSU rRNA". It matches the Rfam family "Archaeal small subunit ribosomal RNA", at positions 232 to 879 of the family's 1478-position model. The record is from RNAcentral.
GUAUUGGGUGUAGCGUACCUACUAGCCUACGACGGGUACGGGUUGUGAGAGCAAGAGCCCGGAGAUGGAUUCUGAGACACGAAUCCAGGCCCUACGGGGUGCAGCAGGCGCGAAAACUUUACAAUGCUGGAAACAGCGAUAAGGGGACCUCGAGUGCCAGGUUACAAAUCUGGCUGUCGUGAUGCCUAAAAAGCAUUGCAUAGCAAGGGCCGGGCAAGACCGGUGCCAGCCGCCGCGGUAACACCGGCGGCUCGAGUGGUAACCGUUAUUAUUGGGUCUAAAGGGUCUGUAGCCGGCCGGAUAAGUCUCUUGGGAAAUCCAGCAGCUUAACUGUUGGGCUUUCAGGAGAUACUGUCUGGCUCGAGGCCGGGAGAGGUGAGAGGUACUUCAGGGGUAGGGGUGAAAUCUUGUAAUCCUUGAAGGACCACCAGUGGCGAAGGCGUCUCACCAGAACGGACCUGACGGCAAGGGACGAAAGCUAGGGGCACGAACCGGAUUAGAUACCCGGGUAGUCCUAGCCGUAAACGAUACUCGCUAGGUGUCGGCCACGGUGCGACCGUUGUCGGUGCCGUAGGGAAGCCGUGAAGCGAGCCACCUGGGAAGUACGGCCGCAAGGCUGAAACUUAAAGGAAUUGGCGGGGGAGCAC